UACUUGAUCUCAGCCACCCCACUA
RNAcentral lists this transfer RNA (24 nucleotides) under Coptotermes acinaciformis acinaciformis. RNAcentral describes it as "partial tRNA-Tyr". The record is from RNAcentral. Lineage: Eukaryota; Metazoa; Arthropoda; Insecta; Blattodea; Rhinotermitidae.